UACAGAGGGUGCAAGCGUUAUUCGGAUUUAUUGGGCGUAAAGAGCGCGUAGGUGGUUCGAUAAGUCUGGUGUGAAAGCCCUGGACUCAAUCCAGGAAGUGCAUUGGAUACUGUCGGACUAGAGUAUGGGAGAGGAGAGCGGAAUUCCAGGUGUAGAGGUGAAAUUCGUAGAUAUCUGGAGGAACAACAGUAGCGAAAGCGGCUCGCUGGGUCUCUACUGACGCUGAGGCACGAAAGCUAGGGUAGCGAACAGG
Molecule: ribosomal RNA, 253 nt
Filed under: uncultured bacterium
Lineage: Bacteria
Description: partial 16S ribosomal RNA
Rfam family: Bacterial small subunit ribosomal RNA
Source: RNAcentral